This is a long non-coding RNA of Mesocricetus auratus (golden hamster), 737 nucleotides long. RefSeq lists it as uncharacterized. The transcript is spliced from 2 exons. NCBI's taxonomy places the organism in Eukaryota, Metazoa, Chordata, Mammalia, Rodentia, Cricetidae. The record is from RefSeq and is a predicted model, not a curated record.
CCGCUGUGCGCGUUGAUUGGGCAAAUUGGACGUCCAUCAGGGUUCACACAGGAAGAUGAGGGCGGUCGAGGCCGGCCGUGAUGCACCAGGAUGACAACACGGGGUGCUGGGCGGAGCUUCUGACGUCCGAGGCACGCCGGGAAGGAGUCACUGCCAGACGCAAGUUCCGGUUCCGUUGGCGCGGCCGAUUGCUACGGUAACGCGGCCGUUAGUCCUGGGAUGGCAGGGACCAGAGGUGCGGUGGGCCUCCGCGCCUCACCAGCCGAGGUGAGCCGCGAACCUGACGUGCCCAUCCCUGCCCGGGGCUCCGGCCUCAUGUCCAGUCCGGGUCCCACCCGGGGCUCCGGCCUCGGACCCAGCGUGCACGCGGACGGCCAAGCCGUGCUCUGCUUAGCAUGAUCUUUUAGCAUAAAAAUGUAGCCAUUGUGUGUAUGUGCGGUGCGCGCGCAGACACGUGCCACAGCGUGGGAGUGGAAGUCAGCAGACAACUGUGUGUAGUCAGGUCCCCACCUCCGCCUUUUACGAGGCGAGGGGGUCCUGGGAUAGAACUCGGGCCCUUUGAUCCCCAGGUAUCAUAAGAAGACAUACAAGGAAUGCUGAGAUGGGGCAGCUGCUCUGGAAGUCAGUCUGUACCCUUAGCAGCAGAAACUCUAGUUGCCUCCAGGAUUGGCAAGCUUUUAUUCAUGGCCGUAAGUAGUUGUACUUUACAAAAUAAAACAAACAAAUAAAGACUGACA